RNAcentral lists this ribosomal RNA (253 nucleotides) under uncultured bacterium. RNAcentral describes it as "partial 16S ribosomal RNA". It matches the Rfam family "Bacterial small subunit ribosomal RNA", at positions 524 to 776 of the family's 1533-position model. The record is from RNAcentral.
UACAGAGGUCUCAAGCGUUGUUCGGAUUCAUUGGGCGUAAAGGGUGCGUAGGCGGCGCGGUAAGUCGGGUGUGAAAUCUCGGGGCUUAACUCCGAAACUGCAUUCGAUACUGCCGUGCUUGAGGACUGGAGAGGAGACUGGAAUUUACGGUGUAGCGGUGAAAUGCGUAGAUAUGCGGAGGAACACCGAUGGCGAAGGCAGUCCCCUGGGCCUGUACUGACGCUCAUGCACGAAAGCGUGGGGAGCAAACAGG